UACAGAGGUGGCAAGCGUUGUUCGGAAUUACUGGGCGUAAAGGGCGCGUAGGCGGCCUUGUAAGUCCUGUGUGAAAUCCCCCGGCUCAACUGGGGAACUGCACAGGAGACUGCUUGGCUUGAGUUCGGGAGAGGGAAGCGGAAUUCCGGGUGUAGCGGUGAAAUGCGCAGAUAUCAGGAGGAACACCAAUGGCGAAGGCAGCUCGCUGGAACGGUACUGACGCUGAGGCGCGAAAGCGUGGGGAGCGAACAGG
This 253-nucleotide ribosomal RNA is filed under the name uncultured bacterium. RNAcentral describes it as "partial 16S ribosomal RNA". It matches the Rfam family "Bacterial small subunit ribosomal RNA", at positions 524 to 776 of the family's 1533-position model. The record is from RNAcentral.